GCCGAAGAGCAAGUCACCCGUAACGCACCAAAUCUCAUCAGAUCUCGGAAUCUAAGCAGAGUUGAGCCUGGAUUGUGCUUGUAUGGGUGACCAACAUGCAUGCAACAGGUGUUGUAGACU
This 120-nucleotide ribosomal RNA is filed under the name Petromyzon marinus (sea lamprey). Lineage: Eukaryota; Metazoa; Chordata; Hyperoartia; Petromyzontiformes; Petromyzontidae. The record is from RNAcentral.